Long non-coding RNA from Gymnogyps californianus (California condor), 1187 nucleotides. RefSeq lists it as uncharacterized. NCBI's taxonomy places the organism in Eukaryota, Metazoa, Chordata, Aves, Accipitriformes, Cathartidae. The record is from RefSeq and is a predicted model, not a curated record. The transcript has 4 exons.
ACUCCGGGGGCGUCUCUUGCUGUGGCUACGUCUCCCCGGUGGCUGCGUGUGUCACGGGCCACCGAGCGCCCCUCCUGCCUAUCGCUGCCGUGAGGGUGGUGGGAUGGGAGAGCAGAGGCCGUGGGCGUCCCUCAGCACCUGCUGCGGGUGCCCCAGGCUGGAGGCAUGGGUGAGCCGAGCUCUGGUCCUUGCCUGGUGCCGUAAAACAACCCCGAGCUACGCGGGCCUGUGCUGAUCUAUAAUUCAGCAUGAGCUUCAUGUUUGUUUUCCGAGUGGACUGAUCAAGUGGGUCGGUCGCCGUGAGUCUCCAGAUUGCACCCAAGAACUGCCCAGUACGAGGACAUACAACAGGGAAAGCUCAGAAGUUGUUUGUUCUCUUCAGAGGAAUGAGACAGAUGCUGAAAAACUGCAAGGUGGCCACAUCAACAAACCCACAACAGGAUGAAUGCACCGGUUAUAAAAGACUCGCCUUCCCAUACGCAUAUGGAAGCCAAGGACCAUGCUCUGCAGUGUCUCACGCUCUGAUGCCCUUCCAGGCUUGCAACAACCACCUCCCCCAAGUUCUUCUAAAGAGCAGUUCUGCCUUUUUGUGGGAUGAUUAUGGAUUAUUCCCCAAUCCACAGGAUACUACAUCUGGCAUUAAGGGGACGAACACUCUUACAAAGACUUUAUCCCCAUGGCGAGUUUGCCCCAGUACAAGAGGGCUUUUAUUACCACAAUGUAGUAGCAUGGAUACAACACAGAUGUGUCUGGGUCUCACACCUAGUGAGAUGUGAGUGGCACAAAUCCCUCAGUAUUACUGGCAGUCCUAGAAAAAGCAAAUUCUGACCAUGUGAGAAAUUCAAAAUCCCUUCCUACCCUCCUUCUAGAAGAGGACUCCGGUACGAGGUGAGGCAAUGGCACGUCCUGCUUUUGCUCCACAUCUUCUGCUGACAGAGUCCUGCUGGCGCUGUAGCUGUCACUUUACCAUUUCCACAGUUAAGGUCCUUUCUAAAAUGCUAUGCAAAUGAAAGGAUAAGAAUCACAGUCAGACACAGAAAAUUUCAAAGUACUUCAUUAAAUUCAGCUAAAGAAGGUUGUGUUUCUUUACCAAGUCAUCCUAUUAUCUCACUUAAAACCCAAGCAUUUUGGAACAGAAAAAUAACUGCUGUAUUUACUGUAAAAAAGCCUUUUGCUUCAUUAGAAGA